Carassius gibelio (silver crucian carp) is the source of this 840-nucleotide long non-coding RNA. RefSeq lists it as uncharacterized. Lineage: Eukaryota; Metazoa; Chordata; Actinopteri; Cypriniformes; Cyprinidae. The record is from RefSeq and is a predicted model, not a curated record. The transcript has 3 exons.
UCACGUGGCACGCGCAUUUUUUAACUGUUACAGGAUAUUUUCAACACCGUGGCAGCUGGGCUGAUUUGACGAGAUAACACUUAGAAAGUGGCUUAAAAUAGCUGCGGGACAUUUGCUGUUGAGCGGUUGUUGAUGUCAGAUAACGCUGUCGUGAAGGAGGCUGGGAUUUGAGACGAGCUAUUCCUGUCCGUCAGCUUCAGGCCACGCCGGUUCCAAAGAAAAGGGUCAGCAGGGUUCUUCAGUUCCCCUCGUUCUCUUUGUUGCACCCGGCUCAGUUUUCAGAACAGAAAUAGACGCUCGUGGAGCUCUGUCAUCGCUUGCCACUAACAGGUGUGCUCUCAAAAGAAGCCUGCAGAGCCUCAAGAGCAUUACACAAUCACAAGGCAUGAAGAGAAACGAAAAUAGCGGUGUGUGGGCGGAGCCUCUGGAGCUGUUCACAGGUGUACGAGUUCAGAGAGCAGAAAUACAUCACUGCUUGAGUAACUUCUCUAGAGUUUCAGAACAAUGUGGAGACUCUCACUGCGGCUAAUCUUGCACAUUUAGAAUUAACGAAUGUUUAACCAACAUGAUUAUGUUAUGCAUUAUUCUAAACCUGUCAUUAACCGGUUUGAAAUUGGAUUUUGAAUUUGGCUUCCAAUGAGCUUGGAGUUUUUUUUUUUUUUUAAGAUUUAAUUUAAAUGCAAAUUAAAGUUUUUACAGGUCGAGUGAAUUUUGAGUUAGAGUUUGAGUUGUCAUUAUUUUAAACCUGCGUGCUGUAAUUGACACAUUUGAAUUAAAGUGAGUUUUGAAAAUGUAAAAAAAAAAUAAAUAAUUAAAUUUAAGAUUGAAUUUUGAAUAUGA